Molecule: non-coding RNA, 973 nt
Organism: Styela clava
Lineage: Eukaryota; Metazoa; Chordata; Ascidiacea; Stolidobranchia; Styelidae
Source: RefSeq, a predicted model, not a curated record
AGGCUGAUCCUUCAUGCUUAUUAAUGAAAGGUAUAUGAUCUAUGGGAAGCAUUCGAGUGUGUCAAAGCAAAGGAAUAUUUAUCCGCGAGGGGAGCAUCAGUACUACCACUUUUGGAUGAUUCAGAAUUAUUGAGUAAGGAGUGGCAAGAUGUUGUGAAGAAAAAUAGUUCCUUGUGAAAAAGUGAACUUUGGGAUUGCCUUGUAACAACUGAAUGCAGUAUUCCAGCUCAAUAUCUGCAUAAGACAUGUGGAUGACACAUUAUCAUUUGUAUAUAUCAGCGUUAAAGGACUUUUGUUUUUACACUGUGCAAGUCUUCCAUCAGAUGUUACAAGAUGCUGCUGUAUGAAGGAUUGAUACCAACUUGAUGAAUGGUAUAGAUCUGAAAAACUGGAAGAAGUAACCAAAGAUGGUCGUUUGUAGUGUUCCAACUGCUUCAGGAAAGAAUUCUACUCCUCUUUUUUCGAUGCUUCUUAUUGUGAUGUCACUUUGUGCAGUCGGGAUCGUCAAUUGAGACUCAUCAUAGAUGCUGGUGAUGUUUCCACAUGUUAAUAAGAGCAGCUUCAGGAAAGAAUGUUCGUCUACUCGUCUUCGAUUGUGAUGUCACUUUAGGCAGUGAGGAUGUUCAGUUGACUCGUCAUAGAUGCUGGUGAUGUUUCCACUUGUUAAGGCAGGAUCAGGAUUUUUUUUUGUUCCAACUUUCAGUGAGGAUUGUCAGUUGACUCGUCAUAGAUGCUGGUGAUGUUUCCACUUAUUAGGAGCAGGAUCUUGCGGUGAUGAUUGUCCGUUGACUUGUCAUAAAUGACCUUGAUGUUUUCACUUAUUGAGAGAAGCAGUGCUCUGAAGUAAAAGCUGUCUGACGAAUCAUAGUUAUAUUUAUUGCAGAUGCAUCUUCGUAUUCUACAACAAUGAAUAAAUGCAGAUCGCUUCCUAUAAUAAGAUGUGUUUAAAUUGUGUUACUUUUUUGUUGGGUAU